Molecule: ribosomal RNA, 408 nt
Filed under: uncultured bacterium
Lineage: Bacteria
Description: partial 16S ribosomal RNA
Rfam family: Bacterial small subunit ribosomal RNA
Source: RNAcentral
GACGCACGCUGGCGGCGUGCUUAACACAUGCAAGUCGAACGAAGUGGCGAACGGGUGAGUAAUACGUGGGUAACCUGCCCUCCUUUUUGGGAUAAGCCUUGGAAACGGGGUCUAAUACCGAAUAAAGGGGGAUGGGCUCGCGGCCUAUCAGCUUGUUGGUGGGGUGAUGGCCUACCAAGGGGGUGACGGGUAGCCGGCCUGAGAGGGUGGCCGGAAAAAUUGGGACUGAGCUCCGGCCCAGACUCCUACGGCAGGAAGCAGUGGGGGAUAUUGCACAAUGGGCGAAAGCGUGAUGCAGCGACGCCGCGUGGGGGAUGAAGGCUUUCGGGUUGUAAACCUCUGUCGCUAUCGAACGGGUAGGUAGAGAAGAAGCGCCGGCUAACUACGUGCCAGCAGCCGCGGUAAUUC